GAUGAACGCUAGCUACAGGCUUAACACAUGCAAGUCGAGGGGAAACGCCAUCGAAAGCUUGCUUUUGAUGGGCGUCGACCGGCGCACGGGUGAGUAACGCGUAUCCAACCUGCCCAUCACUUGGGAAUAACCUUGCGAAAGUAAGACUAAUACCCAAUGACAUCCCACGAAGACAUCUGAAUGGGAUUAAAGAUUUAUCGGUGAUGGAUGGGGAUGCGUCUGAUUAGCUUGUUGGCGGGGUAACGGCCCACCAAGGCAACGAUCAGUAGGGGUUCUGAGAGGAAGGUCCCCCACAUUGGAACUGAGACACGGUCCAAACUCCUACGGGAGGCAGCAGUGAGGAAUAUUGGUCAAUGGGCGAGAGCCUGAACCAGCCAAGUAGCGUGCAGGAUGACGGCCCUAUGGGUUGUAAACUGCUUUUAUAAGGGAAUAAAGUGGGUCUCGUGAGACUUUCUGCAUGUACCUUAUGAAUAAGGACCGGCUAAUUCCGUG
This 492-nucleotide ribosomal RNA is filed under the name uncultured bacterium. RNAcentral's name for it is "partial 16S ribosomal RNA". It matches the Rfam family "Bacterial small subunit ribosomal RNA", at positions 28 to 507 of the family's 1533-position model. The record is from RNAcentral.